AAGGAUCAUUAGUGAAUUAAACAUGCUUGGUGUCUUCGCUUCGGCAAGGCCCUUGCUUAACUCACAUCCCAACACCUGUGAACUGUAAGGCGCAUGACUAGGUUCGCCCAAGUCAUCGUCUGCCCUUUUUAACAAACAAUUAAUGUAACAAACGUAGUCUUAUUAUAACCUAAUAAAACUUUCAACAACGGAUCUCUUGGCUCUCGCAUCGAUGAAGAACGCAGCCGUACGGCGAUGUGGAAGUAAAAGUCGUAACAAGGCAUCGAUGAAGAACGCAGCGUAGCCAGCUGCAUCGAUGUGGAAGUAAAACUUUCAACAACGGAUCUCUUGGUCCUG
This 336-nucleotide unclassified non-coding RNA is filed under the name uncultured fungus. RNAcentral describes it as "partial contains 18S rRNA, ITS1, 5.8S rRNA, ITS2 and 28S rRNA". The stretch from base 177 to 309 matches the Rfam family "5.8S ribosomal RNA". Lineage: Eukaryota; Fungi. The record is from RNAcentral.